RNAcentral lists this ribosomal RNA (485 nucleotides) under uncultured bacterium. RNAcentral's name for it is "partial 16S ribosomal RNA". It matches the Rfam family "Bacterial small subunit ribosomal RNA", at positions 899 to 1397 of the family's 1533-position model. The record is from RNAcentral.
ACUCAAAGGAAUUGACGGGGACCCGCACAAGCAGAGGAGGAUGUGGUUUAAUAUGACGCUACGCGUAGAACCUUACCGAGGCUUGACAUCCUUGGAACCCACUGGAAACAGAGGGGUGCCGCAAGGAGCCAAGUGACAGGUGCUGCAUGGCCGUCGUCAGCUCGUGUCGUGAGAUGUUGGGUUAAGUCCCGCAACGAGCGCAACCCUUAUCGUAUGUUGUAUUUUUCAUGCGAGACUGCCCGGGCCAACCGGGAGGAAGGUGGGGAUGACGUCAGGUCGGCAUGGCCCUUACGCCUCGGGCCACACACGUCCUACAAUGGCCGGUACAACGCGUUGCCAAAGCGCAAGCUGGAGCUAAUCGCACCAAAACCGGUCCCAGUUCGGAUUGGGGGCUGCAACUCGCCCCCAUGAAGUCGGAUUUGCUAGUAACCGUGGGUCAGCACACCGCGGUGAAUACGUUCCCGGGUCUUGUACACACCGCCCGU